Molecule: long non-coding RNA, 6485 nt
Organism: Gasterosteus aculeatus aculeatus (three-spined stickleback)
Lineage: Eukaryota; Metazoa; Chordata; Actinopteri; Perciformes; Gasterosteidae
Source: Ensembl
UGGAACAUGUGGAACAUGUGGAACAAGUUGAACAAGUGGAACAAGUUGAACAUGUGGAACAUAUGGAACAUGUGGAACAAGUUGAACAUGUGGAACAUGUGGAACAAGUUGAACAUAUGGAACAUGUUCCACAUGUUGAACAUGUGGAACAAGUUGAACAUAUGGAACAUGUUCCACAUGUUGAACAUGUGGAACAAGUUGAACAUGUGGAAAAUGUUGAACAUGUGGAACAAGUUGAACAUGUGGAACAUGUGGAACAUGUUGAACAAAUGGAACAUGUGGAACUAGCGACUCUUCCUGUUGUCCUUGUGCACUUUGCUCUCAACUCUACAUCAUUUGUUUCAAGUGCAACAAUCUCUCCACAUUCAUCAGGAUGUUUUCCACCCAGUCUUUUAGGGACACGGUGGUGGUUCUCUGCAGGGUGGAUGUUGAGAUGGAAGUAGCCUAGCAGCUAGCUUAGCAUAGCGGUGCUUUGAGUGUUCUGUUUGACCCGUGGAGGAAUUCCUCUGCUCAGUUCCGUCUCGCUCUCCAUCUAUCUGACUGCAGGGUGGUGGCUUCAGGGGUCAAGGGUCAACGCACACCAGAAGGAAACAAAGCUGCAUUUAAAUAUGGUUGAAUGCACUUAUUGUACGUCGCUUUGGAUAAAAGCGUCAGCUAAAUGACAUGUAAUGUAAUGUAAUGUAAUGUAAAAUAUUUUAUCCCGUUAAUCACAGCCACAAUAAUCUCAUAGAUUAAUACGUUGACAGCCUUAAUAAAAAGCUUUUCUUUAAACAGAUUUUAGAUAAAAAAACGAUAUGUUGAUAUAUUUCACCUGCAGGAGCAGCUCGGGUCAGACUCACUACCGUGUUUGGAAACGGACCCUAAUGGACACAAUUAUUAUUCAAACUUCUCUUUACUCACAAAAACAUGAAAUUGAUCAUUUUAUCCGUUUAGUUGUAAAUAUGAUAAAGAAUCCGCAUUUAUGUUUAAUGGCUUUACUUCAUAUCCAGAACCUCACACAACGUCGACAUGUCGACUUUAUUCUGUUUCUGGAUCUCAUAUCAUCAAUCACACAGAUUCAAAGUCCCUGCAGGAAGUAUUAGUACUUGGUCUGGUCUGGAUGAGCGGCGUGUCUGCGUGGAUGCUGGGGCCACAUUUGGGCUUCAGGGUGAGAACUUUCACUUCCUGUGGCGUGGGAGGAAACCAGCGAGCGCCGUGAGAGCUUCAAGCCGCUUAACGUCCGUCUUUAUAUAUUUACACUGUGGAUCUUUUAUGGCGCACAAUACUCAAAAGUACUUAAAUAACUUUUCUCAGAACAUAUACUAAACUUUAUUAUUGUUUUGAAAUAGGUUAUUACGAGAUACUGUACUAUAUUCAUACUGUCUUUGUAUUACAAUAUUUAUCUAUUAAUACUUGCUGCUAUAUACGAGUUAUUAAUGACAUACGUUUAUAAAACAUUUGUGACAUACUACGGCUUCAAAGUGUUUGUAUUAAAAUACAUUACGGAGGCUUCAAAGAUUCUCUGAGAUGCGGCUGAUUUUUAGUCCUUCAUGAGUACUUUAUGACUCAUGAAGGACUAUUUGACUAACAACAAGAAGCACGAACCACGUCCCCAUGAAAGUUCAAUCAACGGGUCUCUAAAAGCACAAAAACAUCAUUUUGUACAAAUGACUUUAAAAGAUCCACUUUAUUUAUCAAACAGCCGGAAGCUCAAAUCGCUUUAGAUGAACGUUGUUAUCAUUACAAAUGAAGCUGUGCUGUGUGACGCUUGAGGGCCUGGUCUCCACCUGGUCUUCAGGGUGGUGUGAUAACGUCCUGCUGUAGGUGGGACUACGCUGUGAGCCGACCUCGGCCCGCUCACAGCGCGUAGAAGAGGAAAAAGCAGCGGUCCUCAUCGGAAGGCCGGCGCUGGAUGCUGUCUGGGAUCAAAUCUGCCCCCAUAAUCUUCUUCACCAUGAUGCUGAUGCUGGUGCCGCUGUGCAGUUGCACCUUCUCCAGGACGACGUACUUUCCGUCCUGGUGGUUCCUCUUCUGGAUUGUUCUGCUGUCGUCACCGUGGGUCUGCGUGAGCACCAGCUCUCCUUCCAAGUUGCUCUCUAUCUCUCCGUAAAUGAAGUAGUGAGCAGUCCGAUUGAUGGUGAAGACCAGGUAUCGCUGCUCCGGGUUCAUCUCUGUGGGACACAAAGGUUCUCCAUGAGGAGCCAACAUCUCAAAGGGAGAGCAGGAAGCCAUGAAAUACAGGUGAUGCUCACUUCUCUGAGUGCAGGUUACGUUGAAUUUCACCUGAGCAUCUGAUGGACUUGAACCCUGCAGACAGACAGACAGGUAGAUCAUGGAGACACGGUGCAGACAGACAGGUAGAUUGUAGAGACACGGUGCAGACAGACAGGUAGAUCAUGGAGACACGGAGCAGACAGACAGAUACCACACAGAGGACAUGAACCAAUGAGGCGUUGCUCACCUGGCUGCAUGAAGGGGUGGACAUGAACAAAUGCAGCAUGAAGGCCGUCCCCAGAGCCACCAUGACCCCCCCCAUCACUGAUGCCGAGGCAGCCGCACAUUUGAAGCCGCCACGGCGGUCUGCAGGAGAGUCUCCGGGUGGGUUCUCGACCAUCACCAGGGCGUCCCUCUGUCCUACCUGAUGUCCCUCCAUGGUGCAUUCUGUAAAGCUUGUUAUGCACAUUAUGUCCUUAAUAUAGUCCAUCUUCCCACACACCGGGACACGGAGUGGGAAUCCCAAGCUCACCUAAGCCCCGCCCCCCCACACAAUAGAAAGCAAAUAGAGAGCAGAGGGAAUCCCUCGACGCCCACGCGUCCCAUAACCUCUGGAUGGAAGUCGCUUAACGAUUCAAACAAUAAAGUAACGAGUCAUGAAGAAGAGUUCACGAGGGGUUAUGAACCAUUCAGUCCCCCCUUCCCUCUCCAGGAGAGGAUCCUGGGAGCUGGAAUGACCCAACAUGCUCCAAACACUUCCAACACGCUCCCAACAUACUCAAACACGCUCCCAACAUGCUCCCUGAAGAUGCUUUCACCCGAUCGUGUAACCUGUUUUAUUAGAUGAAAUAGUCCUUAUCUCACCUCCCUCUCUUCCAUUAAGCCGCAAACUCCUCCCCCAGAGAAACUGCUGCUGUUGCAUCACUGCCCCCCCUCCUCCACCACCCCCUCCCCCAAGCUCUUGCAUCAUCAUUGCUUUCCCAUGUCUGAUCUCGGCUCACAAUGUGGGGUUAUCUCAUCCAUGUGUGGGUGUGGGUUUGUCUCUGUGUGUGUGUGUGUGUGUGUGUGUGUGUGCGUGUGUGUGUGAUCACCUCCUUAUCAGUGAACUCACUCUGGAGUUUCAUUAGAAAACGAAACCUUUGUGAAGUUGCAGGUUUCAGUAAUAAAGGAAACAAACUCAGACGGUGACGGACGACGUGUUUUAUUCUGCGAGUCGCGUCCUUCAGUUGUUACGACGCACAGCUUUUAUAUUCACACUCAUGUAACACUGGACAUUUAAAGUGAAAUAGAACAAUAGAGUUCAACACAAACACACUAACUGCCGAUGACACAACACACACACAGACACACACACACGCACACACACACACACAGGUCCCACGUGUGUUUGUAGCUUUGAUGCCCUUUGCUCUCCAGAGUAGAAACCUGCUUUAUGAGAGCAGCAGUUUCACCACAGGCUGGAGUCUGGAUGAGACCUCAUGGGGCCACAGGGUCCUCAUCUGUGAGCACGAAGACACAAAUAACCACCAGCAUAUGAAUCAUAAAUGCUGUUUAUUAAGUUAUGAAUGUCACCGGGCAUCGUUUGACCCUCUACGGAAGCUGUGACACCAGACGAUUGAAGGUGUGAAUCACACAUGUGUUUCGCCUGGUGUCUCCAUGUCUUAUAGCACGGAUUGCGCUCUUAAUGAUCUGAUUUCAGCCGAGUCUCAAAGUUUGAAGGUUUUUUUGUGUGUUAUAUUGAUUUAUUUCGUCACCAUAACAUGUAAACUGAUUGUUACGCAUUAGAACACUUACAGGUUCCCCUUCAUCCUACAGGAGAUGAGAUGAUGGAGCAUCUGGGGCCAUUUUCAGAGCAGAGGCCAAAAAACGUAUAGUAGCAUCAUUUAUAGUUAGAUUGUAUUUUGUAAUAAAUGUAAUAGAAAGUUAGAGAAUUGUACAUUUCAAGGCAUUAAAAUGUCUGAAUAUAAUGAUCAAAAUGUAGUUUGUUGAAAACGUCAUAGAAUAGAUCAUGAAGGUAUUGAAAAAUAUCACAAUAAUCCCAGUAAGUUAGUAAGUGAGUGAAUUAUUUUUAUGCACACGUUUAUGCACACACAUGUUCAACGACAUAUGCACACAUGUUCAACGACACAUGCACACAUGUUCAAUGACAUAUGCACACGCGUUCAACGACAUAUGCACACAUGUUUCAUAACAUGCAUAAAUGACAUUUUUUAUUCAUGAGGCAACACGUAAAUAAUGAUGAUGAAAAGUCUUUUCAUGGAAUUAGAAGAUGGCGGUUUAUGUCACUUAGACAUGUUCGAUGAGGAUUACAGAAGUUAUUGUUUUAUUAUGAAGAUGCUUCUUUAAAUGAGAAACUUCUGCUCUAAACAUGAUGAGUCAUUUGUUAAUAGAAGGGAAAUAAUAAAUUAAGCAAAUCAAAAGUUCAGCUCAACACAUAAAAUUGCACUUUCUUGUUUCUUGUUCUUUGACGUCGUAUCCCCCCCCCCCCCCUAAAACAGCUGGCAGCGGCUGCCCAGCAGGUAGCUCAGGGCCACCGUCAUGUUCUUCACCUUGAAGCCGGCAGUGGAGUUGAGACGGAGGCGGAGCCUCUCCUUGUUCCGCAGGUAGGCGGUGCUGUGGAGCCCCCUGCAGACCUCCACGGAGGCCCGCAGGGGGAAGGAGCUGGCGGGGGCCUCCCGGCCCUGCACCCACAGCUCCAGUGUCCCCAGGGCCCCCCCCUGGUCCCGGUCCUUGUAGCACAGGUACAGGUACAACACGUAGGGGCCCGUGCAGUUCACCUGGAUCUGGUCCUUCUCCUCGGGGACCAGGCUCAUCAUGUGACUGCUGUAGACCCCCCCGAACGGCACCCACACCUCGCCCGAGAAGUCUGCAGGGGACGAGGGAGCUUAUUGAUCACAUCUUAGGCUUAUUGAUGCGAUCAGUCCUCACCUGAGACGGGGUUCAAGCGGAUGUGCACGUUGUCCUGCGCUUCUCUCGCUGUCCGACCCUAAAGGUGCACAGGUAAACAAACAUUUACAUUCUCUGUUUCCUCUUUGGGAAAUAUAUAUAUAAGUAUAUAAAUAUAAUGUUCAGGCUGAUCUCAUAAAGCAGCUACAUAUCAUAAUGUAUAUGAAAUAUACAAUACUUCAUGUACAACUAAUAUAAUAUAGAAUAAUACUGUUGGCACUUCAAACACGUCAAAUGAAGGAAGGUUGAGCGCAAAGAAAAGACGUAGUUCAACAUGAUCACACGUGUGCGGUUUGUGUUUAACAAUUAAACAAAUGUCUAAAAAAACAGGCUCUCAUUACUUGUAAAAUUUGUCUUUGGCAGAAAAAAAACAUUCAUUAAUCACCAUUAAUCACAUAUUUCAAAAUGUGCAAUGAAUUAGUAAUAAAAUAUUGUACAAUAAAUAAAGUAGGAUAAAAUAUCUACAGGUGAACGCUCACCUGGACGUCCCAGCACACGUAGAGCGCCACCAGCAGGCACGUGGUCACCACCGCGGUCUGCACUGCCACGACCAGCGCCAGAUGUCUCGUGCGCUUCGUCUGGUGCAGCCCGCGACCUCCGUCAGCCUCCAUCCUCCUCUGAGCACACAGAGCGCGAGGGACUCUUUAAAGCGCCAGGGAGGGGGGCUGAGAUCUUCUAGCGUGUGAGGGGGAAGAGACAGUUUGUUGUUCAUGCUCUGUGUCUGAGGUGAAACACCUACUUAGCCUGACCCUAACCGGUGCCGGCUAUAACCUGGUGGAAUAAGAGCCUCUGGUGGGGGGGUCCUGAGUUUCCCUUCUGUGGGUGAAGCACAAAGAUGAAGAGCCUCAGAAGUAAAUGUCAAGUGAUGACGACCUGCCACGUGGGAGGGGAAACCCCCCCUGACCAAAGGCCCAGACACCAGCUCACCGCUGAGAGAUACUGGGGGGCUCAAUGUCAACUGAUCAGCAGAGGACUUAGCUGAUGAGCUAGCUGAUCAGCUAGCAGAGGACUUAGCGGAUGAGCUAGCAGAGGACUUAGCCUGAUGAGCUAGCAGAUGAGCUAGCAGAGGACUUAGCCUGCUGAGCUAGCUGAUGAGCUAGCAGAGGACUUAGCCUGCUGAGCUAGCUGAUGAGCUAGCAGAGGACUUGGCUGCUGAGCUAGCUGAUGAGCUAGCAGAGGACUUAGCCUGCUGAGCUAGCUGAUGAGCUAGCAGAGGACUUGGCUGCUGAGCUAGCUGAUAAGCUAGCAGAGGACUUGGCUGCUGAGCUAGCUGAUAAGCUAGCAGAGGACUUGGCUGCUGAGCUAGCUGAUAAGCUAGCAGAGGACUUGGCUGAUGAGCUAGCUGA